Molecule: unclassified non-coding RNA, 564 nt
Filed under: Hevea brasiliensis (rubber tree)
Lineage: Eukaryota; Viridiplantae; Streptophyta; Magnoliopsida; Malpighiales; Euphorbiaceae
Source: RNAcentral
UAAAAAAAAAAAAAAAACUAUUUACCCCUCCAAAUAUUUUUAUAUUUUUGUUUUGGCCCCCCACACUUUUAUAUGAAUUUUGUUCAUACGUUUAUACAUUUUAAUUUUGAUCUUUAUGUUUUUAUAUUUUUAUUUUGAUCCCUAUAUUUUUAUGAAAAUUUUAUUUAUUUUCUUUUUAACAUUCAUCUUCAGCCCCCUCAAAGAUAAAGUUCUAGUUCUGCCUCUGCAUAUCCUGCAGCUAGGAUCAUUGUUGUAGAUUAUGCCACAUGACAUUGUGGAACAACUUCAUUGGAAGUUGGAAUUUUUUUUUUUUUUUUAUAAAUCCCCAAAUUAUAUGAAAGUAAGGUAUCUCAAAACUGUAAGAAGCUGUAGAAUUUGUACCAAGAAUAAGUUGUAUGAUCAGAUAAUGUUAGGGAUGCCAGUGAUAUCUGAAAAACCACAUGGCACGUCAGUGAUCUUCUCAGAAAUUUUAAGGUAGGAUGAUCCUUCAAGAAAGUGAAUUUAAGAGAGGGAGAUGCUAACGGUCAGGUAUCAUCUGCAGGUGAGUUUGGUCACACUGAAGGA